AGUGAACGCUGGCGGUAGGCCUAACACAUGCAAGUCGAACGGCAGCACAGGAGAGCUUGCUCUCUGGGUGGCGAGUGGCGGACGGGUGAGGAAUACAUCGGAAUCUACUCUGUCAUGGGGGAUAACGUAGGGAAACUUACGCUAAUACCGCAUACGACCUACGGGUGAAAGCAGGGGAUCUUCGGACCUUGCGCGAUUGAAUGAGCCGAUGUCGGAUUAGCUAGUUGGCGGGGUAAAGGCCCACCAAGGCGACGAGCCGUAGCUGGUCUGAGAGGAUGAUCAGCCACACUGGAACUGAGACACGGUCCAGACUCCUACGGGAGGCAGCAGUGGGGAAUAUUGGACAAUGGGCGCAAGCCUGAUCCAGCCAUACCGCGUGGGUGAAGAAGGCCUUCGGGUUGUAAAGCCCUUUUGUUGGGAAAGAAAUCCAGCUGGCUAAUACCCGGUUGGGAUGACGGUACCCAAAGAAUAAGCACCGGCUAACUUCGUGCCAGCAGCCGCCGUAA
Molecule: ribosomal RNA, 506 nt
Filed under: uncultured bacterium
Lineage: Bacteria
Description: partial 16S ribosomal RNA
Rfam family: Bacterial small subunit ribosomal RNA
Source: RNAcentral